GUUAUGCAUUUAGUUCGAAUGUUGUCAAGUUUGAAAUGUUUUUCUCGUUAAUUUCCGAUUUUUAUGUGAAUCUAUCUUUGGGACUUUAUUUCUAUUGAUGUUGGAGGACAUUUUUCGGCGGAAACGGAUUGCUUCAAUAUGGUUAAGAGRCAAAAUUGAACUGAUGCAGACUCUUUUCACUUGAAUGGAAAACCGACUACUAGUGUAUCCACUUUAUAGUCUGUGGGGUGUCUUUCGGCCAUGUGUUGUGAUUUCAACUUUCUUGAUCUGUAAGUCGUCGUUUUCAACGUUUCAAAUGAUAGAGCUCUUCUUCUACAAUCCCAUUUACUUAACGAUUCUCCACUUCCAAAGCAUCUGAUUGUAUAAAGAUUUUAAAAAUUACUCAACCAAUCUACAUGUAUUAAAUUACAUAAUGUGGGAAAURCACAAAAGUUAUGCUUGUUAAUCUUUGUUUUACUUUGCAAUUUUAGAGAAUAUAUAUUUUUUGUUAUUAUCAUAAAAUCUUUAGCUUUGCCAGAACUACUGUACUAUAUAUUUAAUCAAUUUAAUUAAAUGAUUGUUUAUU
Long non-coding RNA from Exaiptasia diaphana, 565 nucleotides. RefSeq lists it as uncharacterized. The transcript is spliced from 4 exons. The record is from RefSeq and is a predicted model, not a curated record. NCBI's taxonomy places the organism in Eukaryota, Metazoa, Cnidaria, Anthozoa, Actiniaria, Aiptasiidae.